CUGAGCCCGGAGCUGGAACUAGAAACUUUCUGUCAGUGUAACAUCUGCACCCAAUGGUGGUUGGGCUUCGGGUCACGUGACAACUUCUUUGUAGCUCCGGAAGAGGAUUGCGAAGUUUAGGUUUCGUGGAAGAAACCGAUAAUUGAGGGAAAAAAAUCAAGAUUUGGGGGAAUUACCUACAAAGAUGUAAGGUGUGUUAAUUUGGGCGCUUCUUGGAUUCUACCCUGAGGAGGAGGCGCGUGGUGAGAGGAGAGAUCUUGAUCUGCCGCUCGCUGAGGUUCAGCAGGUUGGCCAUCUCCACACGGCGAGGCCGGCACAGGUAGCGGUUAAAAUGGAACUCCUUCUCCAGCUCCACCAGCUGCGCGCUCGUGUACGCCGUCCGCGCCCGCUUGGACGCCGCCGACCCCGGGGGGCUCUUGUCCCCUCCCCCGCCGCCGCCGCCGCCACCGCCCCCGCUGCCACCACUGCCUCCGCCGCCGCCGCCACCACAGCCCUCUGCUGGAUCCGAGAGGGAGGGGUGGGAAGGGGAGAAAAUGAAAUAAAAGAUAAUUACUGAACACGCCGA
RNAcentral lists this non-coding RNA (565 nucleotides) under Pongo abelii (Sumatran orangutan). Lineage: Eukaryota; Metazoa; Chordata; Mammalia; Primates; Hominidae. The record is from RNAcentral.